This 447-nucleotide ribosomal RNA is filed under the name uncultured bacterium. RNAcentral's name for it is "partial 16S ribosomal RNA". It matches the Rfam family "Bacterial small subunit ribosomal RNA", at positions 338 to 795 of the family's 1533-position model. The record is from RNAcentral.
CCUAUGGGCGGCAGCAGUGGGGAAUAUUGCGCAAUGGGCGAAAGCCUGACGCAGCGACGCCGCGUGCGGGACGAAGGCCUUCGGGUUGUAAAACGCUUUCAGCAGGGACGAGGCCCUCACGGUGACGGUACCUGCAGAAGAAGCACCGGCUAAAUACGUGCCAGCAGCCGCGGUAAUACGUAGGGGGCGAGCGUUAUCCGGAGUCAUUGGGCGUAAAGCGCGCGUAGGGGGCCUGUUAGGUCGGUGGUCAAAUACCGGGGCUCAACCCCGGUCCGCCCCCGAUACGGGCAGGCUUGAGUCUGCUAGGGGAAGGCGGAAUUCGCGGUGUAGCGGUGGAAUGCGCAGAUAUUAGGAAGAACCCCGACGGCGAAGGCAGCCUUCUGGGCCACGACUGACGCUGAGGCGCGAAAGCUAGGGGAGCGAACAGGAUUAGAUACCCGGGUAGUC